This is a non-coding RNA of Vicugna pacos (alpaca), 181 nucleotides long. Lineage: Eukaryota; Metazoa; Chordata; Mammalia; Artiodactyla; Camelidae. The record is from RefSeq and is a predicted model, not a curated record.
CACUACAUACAUAUAUAAGGGGAGGUACAAACUCCAACUCGGUUUUACAGUGAAAACUGCAGGAACUUCAAUCCGGCACUAAGAAACACUCUGAGAAACCAAACUAAGUGCUUCUACUGCAACCCGUUCCCUUUGUGCUAGAUGGAUGAACGUCUUUCCACAUGCUCAGCUCAGAGAGAUA